Ovis aries (sheep) is the source of this 72-nucleotide transfer RNA. It matches the Rfam family "tRNA". Rfam says of the family: Transfer RNA (tRNA) molecules are approximately 80 nucleotides in length. Their secondary structure includes four short double-helical elements and three loops (D, anti-codon, and T loops). NCBI's taxonomy places the organism in Eukaryota, Metazoa, Chordata, Mammalia, Artiodactyla, Bovidae. The record is from Rfam.
UCCCUUGUGGCUCAGCUGGUAAAGAAUCCACCUGCAAUGUGGGAGACCUGGGUUCAAUCCCUGGCUUGGGAA